Molecule: ribosomal RNA, 492 nt
Filed under: uncultured bacterium
Lineage: Bacteria
Description: partial 16S ribosomal RNA
Rfam family: Bacterial small subunit ribosomal RNA
Source: RNAcentral
AGUGAACGCUGGCGGUAGGCCUAACACAUGCAAGUCGAACGGCAGCACAGUAAGAGCUUGCUCUUACGGGUGGCGAGUGGCGGACGGGUGAGGAAUACAUCGGAAUCUACUUUUUCGUGGGGGAUAACGUAGGGAAACUUACGCUAAUACCGCAUACGACCUACGGGUGAAAUCAGGGGAUCUUCGGACCUUGCGCGAUUGAAUGAGCCGAUGUCGCAUUAGCUAGUUGGCGGGGUAAAGGCCCACCAAGGCGACGAUCCGUAGCUGGUCUGAGAGGAUGAUCAGCCACACUGGAACUGAGACACGGUCCAGACUCCUACGGGAGGCAGCAGUGGGGAAUAUUGGACAAUGGGCGCAAGCCUGAUCCAGCCAUACCGCGUGGGUGAAGAAGGCCUUCGGGUUGUAAAGCCCUUUUGUUGGGAAAGAAAAUCAGCAGGUUAAUACCCCGCUGUUCUGACGGUACCCAAAGAAUAAGCACCGGCUAACUUCGUG